RNAcentral lists this non-coding RNA (180 nucleotides) under uncultured Psychrobacillus sp. RNAcentral's name for it is "6S / SsrS RNA". It matches the Rfam family "6S / SsrS RNA". Rfam says of the family: E. coli 6S RNA was the first non coding RNA to be sequenced, but its function was unknown until recently. It consists of 184 nucleotides that fold into an extended hairpin structure with a large single-stranded internal bulge. The 6S RNA specifically associates with RNA polymerase holoenzyme containing the sigma70 specificity factor. The record is from RNAcentral. Lineage: Bacteria; Bacillati; Bacillota; Bacilli; Caryophanales; Bacillaceae.
AUCCUGAUGUGUUCGCGAAACGCCAAUCAGUUUUGACCGAACAAUUAUAUCGUCGGGAGUCUGACUUUUAUUGUUAAUGACAUGCCCUCUAGUUAGGGACUUCAAAGACAGUGAAGAGGACACCCACCUGCUCUGUGCGGGUUCAAAACGAUAAGCACUAUUAGUCGGCACGAUUGGGAU